Molecule: ribosomal RNA, 3144 nt
Filed under: Triticum aestivum (bread wheat)
Lineage: Eukaryota; Viridiplantae; Streptophyta; Magnoliopsida; Poales; Poaceae
Description: partial small subunit ribosomal RNA
Source: RNAcentral
AUGGAGGAAUUGAAGGCCUGCAUGCCACUGGUGGCCUCGGAAUGGUUGCUACUUGGUGAUUUCAACAUGAUUUACCAAGUUUCCGACAAGAGCAAUGACAAUAUUAAUCUCCAGACAAUGGGGCGCUUCAGAAAACUUAUAGACGACCUCAAGCUCAGGGAGUUUGUUCUUUCUGGCAGGCUUUUCACUUGGUCAAAUGAAAGGGAAAAUACGGUUCACACCAAAAUUGACAGGGUAUUCUGCUCCAAGGAUUGGGAGCUCCGUUACCCCCACUGCCACUUGACCCCCAUAUCGACUAGCAUCUCUGAUCACUGCCCAAUGAUCUUAAAGAAUCUCGAGAGGAAGCAUUUCCGUGGGUUCAGAUUUGAGGCCACCUGGUUGCAUUUCCAAGGUUUUCAUCAAGUGGUUGCCAAUGCCUGGACCAAACAGAUUCAUUCCAACAACCCCAUCAAGCGUCUGCACAUUAAGCUUUCCAGGGUGGCAAAAGCCCUGAAGUGUUGGGCAAAGCAGGGGCGUCUCAAUCACAGAUUUAAUGAGCUUUUGGCAAACGAAUUGAUCUUUCAACUGGACCUUGCACAAGAAGAAAGACAACUCUCCCCUGAUGAGAGAAGCUUCAGAGUCUCUCUAAAGAACAAGCUUCUAGGCUAUGCGGCUCUUGACAGGAUUAGGUGGAGACAAAGAUCCAGGUUCACGAAGAUCAAAUAUGGGGAUGCCAACACCAAUUUUUUUCAUCUUCACGCCAAUGGGAGAAGGAGGAGAAAUUUCAUCUCGUCUCUCACUAAUAACUUGGGAGAGGCUGUAACAGAGCACUCUUCUAAGGAGAAUCUGCUCUUUGAUUAUUUCGACGGGAUACUGGGCUCCUCUCCCCCCCGAUCCGUCACUUUCAACUGGAAUGCUUUGGGUCUGCCCUCCAGGGAUCUCUCUCAUAUGGAUGCGCCGGCCUCGAUGGAAGAAUUAAGAUCGGCAGUAAGUGAGCUACACAGCGAGAAAGCGCUUGGCCCGGAUGGUUUUAUUGGUGGCUUCUAUUUGGCUUGCUGGGACACAGUGAAACACGAUUUGCUGGCAGCUAUUAACCAAAUGUUACUGCUCAGAGGCGAUUGCUGGUCCUUGCUAAAUAGUGCUCACAUUGCCCUAAUCCCAAAGUCCUAUGCUGCUGCCUCUCCCAAGGACUUCCGGCCUAUCAGCUUGAUGCACAAUUUUGCCAAGAUUCUGGGAAAGCUUCUCGCCUCACGUUUAGCGGUGGACCUUCCACAUCUGAUCUCUGCCUCACAGAGUGCUUUCAUUAAGAGAAGAUCGAUCCAUGAUAACUUCCUGUUUGUCCGGAACUCAAUAAAGAAUGCCCACAUGACAAAGAAGACACUAUUGUUCCUGAAGCUCGACUUUGCAAAAGCUUUCGACUCUGUUCACUGGAACUACCUCUUUGAGGUUCAGAGGGCUUUUGGAUUCACCUCCAGGUGGUGUGACCUCAUGGCCAUUAUUUUGGGUUCCUCUUCCUCCAGGAUCUUGCUCAAUGGUCUGCCAAGAAAAAAGAUAGUUCGUAAGAAAGGACUGCGCCAGGGCGACCCGCUUGCACCCAUGCUUUUUAUUCUCGCCCUUGAGCCGCUUCAGAGGCUGUUUGCGUUGGCCACAGAUCAAGGCCUCCUCUCUAAUGUGUUCCAUCAGGCUGCUAGGAUGAGCACCAGCCUCUAUGCUGAUGAUGCCGCCCUCUUCCUCAACCCUGUCGCGAGCGAGAUGCAAGCUGUUGUGGGUCUCCUAAACCUUUUUGGGCAGGUCACUGGAUUAAGGGUGAACUUGGACAAAUGGGUUGCCUUUCCGAUCAGGUGUGACAACCUUCCUAUCCAGGAAAUCUUGGCCCCUUUUGGUGGGACUCUUGGCUCCUUCCCGUGCAAAUACCUAGGCCUGCCUCUUACCUUUAAAGGCCUGAGAAGAAUUGAUUGGCAACCGCUCUUGGAUAGAUUUGGCUCCAGACUAAAACCAUGGAAAGGCAAGCUCAUGUCUAGGAUGGGGAGACUAGAGUUGGUCAACGCCGUCCUAACCGCCCUCACUACAUACCUUCUCACCAUUUUUCCCCCUCCCAAAUGGUUGCUCAAGAAAAUAGACAGGAUCCGCAGGAGCUUUCUGUGGUGCGGGGAGGAGGAGGCCUCUGGGAGCAAGUGCCUUGUCAACUGGACAAAAGUCUGCUCCCCUAAGGCUUACGGUGGUUUGGGGAUCAAAGAUCUGGAUAAGCACAGCAGAGCCAUGCGGCUGCAAUGGUUGUGGCACGAAUGGGAUGUGGAUCCUCGUCCCUGGAAGGGGCUGCAAGUACCAUGUGAUGCGACCGAUCGAAGCCUUUUUGCUGCCUGCACCAAGCUGGCCCUGGGCAAUGGUGGAAAAAUUUCGUUCUCGGAGGAUAAAUGGCUGCUGGACUGCUCGCUCAAGGUGUUUGCUCCGGGGCUGUUCAAGCUAUCCUACCGAAAAAAGAUUUGUGUGAGGGAGGGUCUCCAAAACAAUAGCUGGGUGAGGGGGCUCCAGAGAAUUUCAACGGAAUUGCAACUUGACCUUCUCAUCUCCAUCUGGGAAAGAGUGCAAUCUGUCACACUCACACAGCUCGAGGAUAAGAUAACCUGGACCUUAACUGCCAACUCUAUCUACUCAGCCAGCUCUGCUUAUGAAGCUCAAUACCAUGGCCGGAUUUUGAACCCUCGUCUGCACAAGGUCUGGGAUGCCAAAGCGGAGGGCAAGAUAAAAUUCUUCAUUUGGCUAAUUUUGCAAAACAGAGUAUGGACAGCUGACCGCCUUGUUGUGCGAGGCUGGCCUCAUGAUGACCUUUGUUGCCUUUGUGAUCAAGAGAUGGAAUCCAUUAAUCAUCUACUGCUAAAGUGCCCUUUCGCCAAGGAAGUAUGGUUUGCCUUCUCCUCCUCGCAUCCUUCGACCACAACAACUGCCUUGGGCUCUACCUCUAUCUCUGGAUGGUGGAGGAAGAUUUCUAGGUACAGCAAGAAAAAGGAAGAGACUGCAAACAUCACAAUGGCUAUAUACACGGUUUGGCAUCUCUGGAAGGAGAGGAACAGCAGGAUUUUUGAGGGAAAGAACGCUACUGUGAGCACUGUGGUCUCUCUUAUCCGUGACGACCUGCUUUUUGUAGGUCCUUUCUUUUGCGAGUAG